CCUGGGAGAGUGUCCCUUAUAAGCUCAUCAAGCAUGCAGACACGUGAGAGACUGGACGUGUGUAUCGUCAGAGGAGCGAAAAUCGUUCCAGCGUGGGCCCCUACUACCCCAAGGACGCACAUCUCCACCACAGCACCCUGUGGAUUGCAGCCCUGGAGGAUGGAGCAAGCACAGUACUCCAAGGCACCAUGUAGAGGAUUGCUACAUAGGUAAGUGUGGGUUAAUUCACUUUACUUUACUUUCAGAACAUUUGGAGAAGUUCAAGCGGCUGAAGAGAAGGUUGAGCUGAGGGCACAGCUGGCUCUUCAAUCAGAAUGAACCACCUCAAAGAGACACGGCAGAAAUGGACGGUA
Molecule: long non-coding RNA, 353 nt
Organism: Esox lucius (northern pike)
Lineage: Eukaryota; Metazoa; Chordata; Actinopteri; Esociformes; Esocidae
Exons: 4
Source: RefSeq, a predicted model, not a curated record